AUUGAACGCUGGCGGCAUGCUUUACACAUGCAAGUCGAACGGUAACGGGUUAAGCUGACGAGUGGCGAACGGGUGAGUAAUGCAUCGGGACGUGCCCGAUCGUGGGGGAUAACACUUCGAAAGAAGUGCUAAUACCGUAUACGAUCUGAGGAUGAAAGCGGGGGACCGUAAGGCCUCGCGCGAUCGGAGCGGCCGAUGUCAGAUUAGGUAGUUGGUGGGGUAAAGGCUCACCAAGCCGACGAUCUGUAGCUGGUCUGAGAGGACGACCAGCCACACUGGGACUGAGACACGGACCAGACUCCUACGGGAGGCAGCAGUGGGGAAUUUUGGACAAUGGGCGCAAGCCUGAUCCAGCAAUGCCGCGUGCAGGAAGAAGGCCUUCGGGUUGUAAACUGCUUUUGUACGGAGCGAAAAGGCUCCCUCUAAUACAGGGGGCUCAUGACGGUACCGUAAGAAUAAGCACCGGCUAACUACGUGCCAGCCGCCGCAGUAA
Molecule: ribosomal RNA, 493 nt
Filed under: uncultured bacterium
Lineage: Bacteria
Description: partial 16S ribosomal RNA
Rfam family: Bacterial small subunit ribosomal RNA
Source: RNAcentral